Molecule: ribosomal RNA, 253 nt
Filed under: uncultured bacterium
Lineage: Bacteria
Description: partial 16S ribosomal RNA
Rfam family: Archaeal small subunit ribosomal RNA
Source: RNAcentral
UACCAGCACCCCGAGUGGUCGGGACGAUUAUUGGGCCUAAAGCAUCCGUAGCCGGUUCUACAAGUCUUCCGUUAAAUCCACCUGCUUAACAGAUGGGCUGCGGAGGAUACUAUAGAGCUAGGAGGCGGGAGAGGCAAGCGGUACUUAGUGGGUAGGGGUAAAAUCCGUUGAUCCAUUGAAGACCACCAGUGGCGAAGGCGGCUUGCCCGAAUGCGCUCGACGGUGAGGGAUGAAAGCUGGGGGAGCAAACCGG